Molecule: long non-coding RNA, 2219 nt
Filed under: Fukomys damarensis (Damara mole-rat)
Lineage: Eukaryota; Metazoa; Chordata; Mammalia; Rodentia; Bathyergidae
Description: lncRNA (ENSFDAG00000021741.1)
Source: RNAcentral
AAAAAAAAAAAAAAAAAAAAAAAAAAUUGGGAGGACAGCCCAGGGCUUCCCACAGAGUCAUGGACCCAGCAGUGCCUUGAGUCCAAUGCCUCAGUCCAGGGCAGGAGGUGGGGGCAGUGUGGUCAGAGUAGGCUGUGUCUGUCUUGUCUGCAGGAGGAGGAGUCUCCCUGUGGGGAGGUGACACUGAAACGGGAUCGCUCCUUCUCAGAGCAUGACCUGGCCCAGCUGCGGAGUGAGGCAGCCUGCAGCCUGCAGCCAGCCGCUGCCCCCCAGGAAGGAUCAGGACUGCCUCGGCCCAGGGCAGGCAGCAUGCACACCUGGAGGCCCAGUGCCCGGGACCAGGGCUCCUGUGCUGCUGGUAUUCAGUCCCAGCCUGAUGCUGGUGCCCCUGUGCUCAGCAGUCUGAGCUCUACAUACAGACCUGAGGCCUCUGUGCCAGACACCGGGCACCUGUGGCUGGAGUUCAGUCAUCCUGUGGAGAGUCUGGCCCUGACUGUGGAAGAGGUGGUAGACGUGCGCCGCGUGCUGGUGAAGGCUGAGAUGGAGAAGUUUGUCCAGGACAAGGAGCUUUUCAGCAGCCUGAAGCGGGGGAAGGUUUGCUGCUGCUGCAGGGCCCGGUUCUCGCUGUUCACCUGGCCACCGAUUUGUCUCUUCUGCAAGAGGUGAGCCUCACAUGGCAUGGAGGCCACAUGUGAGUGAGGUUGGGCCAGGGCGAUGUGCCAGAUGCCUGUGAUUGUGGCAAUGUCUUAUCACACACUACAGCUAUGGGUGGAGUCUUUCAGUGCCAUUGGGGAAUCGAUUUUUUUUUUUCAGUUCAGAGGUGUUUUAUUUUAUACCUAUUAUGCUGUGAAUUUUUUUGUACCAGGGAUCGAACUCGAGACCUUGUGCUUGUGAGCCAGGCAGUGGAACCACUGAGCUAAAUCCCCAGCCCUAUUAUGCCAUGAAUUUAGAAGUUCUAGCACUAGGCUCCUUUUUUUUUUUUCUUUUGAGAUAGGGUCUCCCUCAGCAGUAUGUUGCCCAAGCUGGCCUUGAACUUGUGAUCUUCCUGCCUGAGCCUCCCAAGUGGCUGAGAUUAAAGCAUAUGCCAUUGUACCCACCUAGUCUGAAGCCUCCUUUCACAUGGUUUUCUCAGGGGCUUAGAAUAUAACUGAGUGGCAGAGCACUCGCCUAUCAUGCAUGAAGCCCUGGGUUUGAUCCAUAGCACCACAAAUAACAACAACAACAACAACAAUACACACACACACACGCACACACACACACACAUAUACCAAUAAUGUCCUCACUAGGGUAGUUCUCUGGGUGGAGCAGGCUGGACUUCAGUUGAGUGUAGGACCUUUUUCUAUGGCUUUUUUCUGAUUUUUUUCCCCCUGGUACUGGGGAUCAAACUCAGGACGUUACACUUGCCAGGCAGGCACCAUGCCACUGAGCUACAUCCUAGGCUCUUUUUCUGAUUGUCCUGGAAGCCACCUUGACUCCUGAGCUUGAUGUGUUCAGCACAUGUGCAAAUUCUCUUGGAGAAUCUUGCCCUUAAUCCAUUUGCUGACAGCAGUGGUGACAAUGUGGGGUGACACAUUGACUCUCCCAGCUUUACCAGGGUGACAUAUGCAGGGCCUCAAUUUCUCCAGUGUCACCUUUCUUGGAGAUCUGCAUGUAUGGGGCCAAAGAAACAAUCCCAUGUUUUCUCAGAGGCCUAGAAGAUGUGUGUCAGGUGCCUCUCUACUUCCCCUUUUGUGAUAGCCAUUUUGGCAAAUUCCUGGAAGAUGGUGGUGCCAGCCAAAGUAAAUGCUGAGAACUGGAAUUUUAAGUGUUAAGUUAAUUUAAAUAGCUAAGGAACUCCCACUUUCAGCCAAGAUGGAGUAACAGGGACAUGCAGCUGAAAUAGCCAAAAACCCAAAACACAAAGAUAUGAAACAGUGGUUUUCAAGACACUGGCCAUCAGCAGCCCUAGGAAGCAGGCCAGGAGCCCAUGUCAGCCUGGAGAGUGUCCAGCACACGGACAUGAAAGGCCAGGGCACUGGAGCUCUCUGGGAAAGUUCCAGAGGAGACUGAGGCACAGAGGUCCUUGGAGACUGGCCUCAGAGGAGCCUGCUGAGCACUCUGCAGCAUAACGAGAGGAAAUUAUGAAAAGACUCAUUGGUUAAGAAGCUACUGUUCUGAGCCAGGUGUGGUGGCACCCGCCUGUAAUCCCAGCACUCAGGAGGCUGAGGCAGGAGGAUCAA